RNAcentral lists this ribosomal RNA (305 nucleotides) under uncultured bacterium. Its description in RNAcentral is "bacterial SSU rRNA". It matches the Rfam family "Bacterial small subunit ribosomal RNA", at positions 337 to 635 of the family's 1533-position model. The record is from RNAcentral.
GCCUACGGGGGGCAGCAGUAGGGAAUUUUCGUCUAUGGGCACAAGCCUGAACGAGCAAUGCCGCGUGAACGAGGAAGGUCUUCGGAUCGUAAAGUUCUGUUGAAGGGGAAAAAGAGCGGAGAGAGGAAAUGGUCUCCGAUUGAUAUUACCCUUCGAGGAAGUCACGGCUAACUACGUGCCAGCAGCCGCGGUAAUACGUAGGUGGCGAGCGUUAUCCGGAAUGAUUGGGCGUAAAGGGUGCGUAGGCGGCCUGCUAAGUCUGGAGUGAAAGGAACCGGCUCAACCGGUACAGGCUCUGGAAACUG